Esox lucius (northern pike) is the source of this 470-nucleotide long non-coding RNA. RefSeq lists it as uncharacterized. Lineage: Eukaryota; Metazoa; Chordata; Actinopteri; Esociformes; Esocidae. The transcript has 3 exons. The record is from RefSeq and is a predicted model, not a curated record.
GGGGGACGCCGCUGCCCAAGCUCUGGGAAAUUUGCUGCAAUGUUUUGGGGCGUUUGCAGGCACCAUUUUUUGGUCGGACAUAUUUUUUCGCCAUGUUCUCCUCGCUCUGUGAUGUAGGCAAGAUGCUGGGACAAGGAGGCUUUGGGUCUGUCUAUGAAGGGACACGGAAACAAGAUGGAAAAAAUGUGGUUCAUCCCUAAGGCUCAUGAUGAUGAAUACUUAACAUUAGUAAGUCACAGUCAAUGCUGGUCAGUCUAUUGUCGGGAUAGAUUGGAAUCGGGCUAUGAGUGUUAGUCUACCUAGCAAUAGCAAGCACAUUCAAACCAAUGCUGUGUGCUAAUCAACUUAUAUUAAGCCUAGAACAUUUUGCAUGUGUGUUGACCCACCUGCCUUGGCCUGGAACACCAUGACUCUGUGUUAACCAACCUCCCCACUUUAGCCCCUGGAGGUGGCCCUCCAUUUGCUAGUGU